CUGAUUAGUAACACUUACGUUUCUCUUUUAUUUUUUUUUUUUUCUGCGUUAUCCUUUUGAACUUCUGAUAAGAACAAAUCCUGUCUAGACGCCACCUCAAGCCACUGCUCUCCCUUGAUGCCAAAAUUGAGACACAGGCCCUUUGUCAAGUCAAACACUUAGUAAGCUUAUGCCGAUCAAGCUCGGUGAAAUCAUUGCUGCAGAUUUAAACCAACACGUUUCCCUCAAAUAAAGCUGUCUGUGUUCAACUGGUCAGAUCAGUUGAUGAGACUCUUUGCACUCUUACAUUCUUAUUUUAAAGAUUCAUGUCGAAUUUGAUUUCCAUAGGCUAUAUAUUAAUAUCACAAUAUCUGUUUUUGAUUAUUCCCUGUUAAUUCACCAUUGAUCUGUGCUUUUGUAGUGUGCAGUUAUAUUAAUAUAUAUCCAAAAAGCGCUGACUCUUGUGUUUUUCACCUCAUCCUCAAUGUCACUCUCUCUGGAGAGACGCGAGAGCCCCAGAUCUACAGCGUUUAAACCCAUUAAGGCGACACUCAAAUGCAAAUCCAAUGCUGCAGAUAUAUUAUAAGGGACCUUGGCUGGAAAAAUUAGAUUACUCUGCAAUUGCCAGCGGAUAAUGUGCUAAAAGCUUUCCCACUUAGCGUAACUUCUUACUGAAUAUUAUUCACACUUUCGGGGCCGAUGUGCCAGCCGGCCAAAGGCGACUUUUAACGAUACAGCAAACCCCCGAAACGUGCCCGUCAGGUGCAGUGUUGCCAUGUCCGCAUAUUAUAAGCGACUUUGGCCUUGCGCAGUCACAGCUUUGCUGGCGCUUGGCAGAAUGUGAACAGUUACCAAAUAUCUCCAUCUGCUGUUGAAACAGCAAUAUAUUAUGCAAUUAUAGUUUAAUUCUUAAAUUCCUAUCUAUCUAUCUAUCUAUCUAAUCAUCUUUUUGUGUGUUUAGAUGAUAUAAUUAUUGAAAUAAAAUAUUGUUUUGUAAUUUACAAUGUAGCAUUGUUUAAUUUAUGUUUUAUGCAUCUUUGUAUGAUUUAUGUUUUAUGAUGAUGCAAAUCUCUUUUUAUGGCUUUGUUUUAUUGAAACACUUUGUUUUUUUUCUUGCGAGAUCUGGCAACACUGUUUAAGUAUGUAGUAUUUCAUACGGGCAAAAAUAGUAGGAACCUAACAAACACUCACCUGACGGAUACAUUUCGAGGGUUGCUGACUGUAUCAAGUAUCAUCUACAUUCAGCAAACGACUGUUUUAUUCAUUUCUGUACAUCAGACGGGGAUAAUUAAACGGUGCAGGGCCAAUGCUGAUCACCGCAUGCCACUAUAUGGACACUGUCCAUGCUGACCACAGGACCAGAAACCCAGACCACUGCAAGGGGCACCAUAGAUAAGGAACUUCAGUCUGCUGCCUGACAGCUUAAAACGUGGAUUGUCUCAAUAUGAUGUCACCAGAGAAGGCCUUCCAGUGUGAGUCAUCUGGGAGCGGCUGUUUGCUCCUCAGAAGGUGGAUUUGGAUCCCAGGUCCAGCUGACCUCUGGAGCUUCUCACCCAAACUGUUUUUGGAGCCAGACUUGAGAUUAGAGCGGCUGCAUUUCUCUGCUUUCUUUUCUUUCGGCUGAACUUGUCCGUCGCCCCUUCCUCCCUCCCACAGUUCAUGUUUUCCAGAUAUGUCGCUCCAGCAGGCAUAUAAAGUAGGCCUACUUGAGUAAUUUACUUCAUUACUUUGUCAUUUAUGUGGGAUUUUACUUUACCUGAGUACUAUUGAAAGUGAAUAGUUGUACUUUUACUGAAUCACAUUUCUGAUUGCAUUUUUUUUUAAAUCCUUACAAUUUAAUUUAUGCUGCUUUAAAGUGCAUCUAGAGGCUCCUACUGCUGGAUUGAGCAGUCCAAUAACAACAAAUAAAUACUGUACAAUGGCAAACAGUGUUGUAUCAGGGGUAAGCAGAAGCAAAUACACCUGCAUCACUUUUACACUACAAAUAUUAUUCAUUUUUGCAUGUUAUCUAACAAACAAUUCAUUCAGUUGCAUAAAAGUGUGAAGGGUGAGUCAUUAGCUUUACAUUACUUCAAAAGUAGACUUACAUGAGACAAGUUACAAGUUCUGUUGUAUAAAAUGCAGAACUGAAAUCGAAAUAGCUUCUCUUUCUCAUCAAAUCUAUUUUUUGUGUCAUCUUUCAUAUGGACACCCCCCUUCUAACGUCACAACUCAACAACCUGGAUAUCCCCAUUGAUAAAUAUGAUAUUUCUGACUUCACUAGCAGGACGUUAUUGUAAGUGUUAAA
Molecule: long non-coding RNA, 2266 nt
Organism: Megalobrama amblycephala (Wuchang bream)
Lineage: Eukaryota; Metazoa; Chordata; Actinopteri; Cypriniformes; Xenocyprididae
Exons: 3
Source: RefSeq, a predicted model, not a curated record